RNAcentral lists this non-coding RNA (21 nucleotides) under Arabidopsis thaliana (thale cress). The record is from RNAcentral. Lineage: Eukaryota; Viridiplantae; Streptophyta; Magnoliopsida; Brassicales; Brassicaceae.
AUAGUCGUCAGAACAGCUUGC